RNA transcript from Physcomitrium patens, 2696 nucleotides. RefSeq lists it as uncharacterized. The record is from RefSeq and is a predicted model, not a curated record. Lineage: Eukaryota; Viridiplantae; Streptophyta; Bryopsida; Funariales; Funariaceae.
UGUCAGAAUAUGGUUCACGGAAACAUUAUUUUUAGUUCGAUACCUGUCCCGAGUUCUAGUAUCAGCUGCAGUCUCAUAUGCAGGGCCGAUGAGAGUUUUGGUGGUUGCAUGCGGUGGGAAUCACGUGGAUUUCGAUAUCGGAGGAAUGCUUCUUCAUUCUUGAGAGAAUGGGCGUGAGUUCUUGUCGUAUGGUGUCUUGGUGUAGGAUUAGCUGAGUUGAGAAAUGAAGUUUGGGAGACUUUAUACGUGAUUUCGAAGUUGGGUCGCGUGAGGGAAGAGUCGAGUAGAAUGAAUUUCUUGCGGUUUUCUAGUGCAUCAUCUGCAUCGGCAGGUCACCAGCUGCAGAAUUCGCUUCUGCUGGGAUUCGCACACGGGUCGUGCUCAACAUGGUCUUCUUCUCUUGGUGCUCCCCCUUUUCGGGUGCCUCGACGGCGGGCAUGGAGUGGGCUUAAGCAGGCGUCAAUGUUUGGGUGCGCUUGGGAGAGUCAGUCCUGGGGGAUGGUUCCCGCUGCGAACCCAUGGGAUUACGGUGUUGCUGUACAUUCUAGGAGGGAGACACGCUCUGCGUCUGUUUCUAGGUCUGUUGGAGACGCUGAGAAUUUUUCUGACCUCGGACAUUCAAGCAGGGCGGUAAUGUUUUUUUCAUCUUCAAACUUGGUCAAGAGUCUCACAUCAUCUACCUCUCAAGGGAAUUGGUUUGCAGGGAAAUUCAGAAAUCUCAAGAGCCGGUCCAAAUGGUCACUGUAUGCAUCUCGCGUGGAGCCGUAUUCUACGAAUGGUGCUGAUCGUAGCUAUGAGGGAGUUGCUGCAGUAGAUGGGGAGCUUUUGUGGAGCGGCCGAUGGUGGGCUAGGCCUAUUGACGCGCGUAAGCAAAUUUUCUGCAAUCGGUCACUCAACAUGAAGAGCAUCGACGCCAUCGGCUUUGACAUGGACUAUACUCUUGCACAAUACAAACCAGAAACCUUUGAAAGUUUGGCGUAUGUGGGCACAAUUCAAAAAUUGGUGCACAACUUGAAUUAUCCAUCAGAACUUCUGCAAUGGAAAUUUGACUGGAGGUUUAUGGUGAGGGGCCUUGUGCUGGACAAAAGGCGUGGCUGCAUACUGAAGAUGGACCGCCACAAGUAUGUAAAAGUGGCUUAUCACGGAUUUCGCGAGUUGUCUCGAGAUGAUCGGCAAGCAAUGUACGGCAACACUUUGUCACGUGAAUCGUAUGAUGAGCCAGACUAUGCAUUAAUCGACACACUUUUCUCACUAGCUGAGGCGUACUUGUUCAUGCAGCUUGUUGACUUCAAAGACGCUUUCCCAGAUAAAAUGCCUUCUGGCGCCUAUGAUUAUUCACAGCUCUAUAAGGACGUGAGGUCAGCUGUAGACCUUUGUCAUCGAGAUGGUACUCUAAAACAAGCUGUUGCAAAUGAUCCCAGCAAGUACAUAAACGAGGAUCCCUUGAUAAUUCCAAUGCUGAAAAUGCUCAAACAAUCUGGACGCAAAUUAUUUCUUGUUACAAACAGCUUGUGGGAUUACACGCAUGUAGUCAUGAAUUUUCUGUGUGGAAAAUGUGGUACUGAAGGUGGCGUUCCUCGAGAUGACGAAUGGCUCUCCUACUUUGAUGUUGUUGUUACUGGAAGUGCAAAACCUACUUUUUUCAUGGAUGGGAAUAGAACUCCUUUAUUUGAGGUAGACAUAAGCACAGGCAUGCUACAGAAUACCGACUCAGGCGUACCUAUGGCGCAGAUUGGUGGAGUUGGUCUUGAAGGUGUUGUGUUGCCAAAUGCAACUGUGAAAAAGGCACAUCGAGUGUUCCAGGGUGGUUCUGUCGCUCAUCUACAUAAUUUACUAUCUAUCGAGGCUAGUUCACAGGUUUUAUAUGUAGGCGAUCAUAUUUAUGGAGAUAUCUUACGAAGCAAAAAAGAAUUAGGGUGGAGGACAAUGCUUGUAGUGCCUGAGUUAGCAGCUGAGCUGGAUGUACUUCAUCAAACUAUGACCAUCCGGAAGGACUAUUCUGACUUCAGGAAAUAUCCGAGUUGCGCACACAACGAGAUGACCUGGAAGAUAGUUUGCUGCGUCUGGAAUGGUGUCUCAGACAUGAAAACCACACAGACGAGGACCAACAAAGACUAGAGCAGGAAGUGGCACACUUACGAAAAGAGAAUGCUAUCGUGCGCGAACAACAUCGUCAGGGCCAACGAGAAUGUCAUCACUUGUUUCACAAGACUUGGGGACAACUAAUGAAGACAGGCUAUCAAAAUUCUCGGUUUUCGCACCAGGUGGAGAGGUUUGCCUGCUUGUACACUAGCCAUGUGACUAACUUAUGCUAUUAUUCGCCGAACAAGAGUUAUCGAACGACAGAAGACUUCAUGCCACAUGAGCUUCAAGGUGACCGGCGAUGAGGUUUGUGCAAUGUAUCAAGUUCUAUUUCGCUUCAUACCUGUUCCGAAUACCUUUUCAAAGAUUAACAGUCUGUGUGAUCAGUCAUUCGCUGUAAGCGUUAUACCUUUAAAUGUGUACGUUUUUUUAAUGCUAUUCUCACAACUUCUUUCUUCGAGUUACAUCAGGGUUCAACCGCUGCAAUAAAUGCGAUUGCAAAUGGCAAUCUUGUCAUUGAGAGUGUAUGUUCUUGACGCCAUAAAUGGUCUGUCUACUGCAAUAUAUAUAUACAUUCUCUGCAAUUUUGUUAUAAGAUUGCACUAUUUACUGAA